This 468-nucleotide ribosomal RNA is filed under the name uncultured bacterium. Its description in RNAcentral is "partial 16S ribosomal RNA". It matches the Rfam family "Bacterial small subunit ribosomal RNA", at positions 28 to 507 of the family's 1533-position model. The record is from RNAcentral.
GACGGAUGCUGGCGGCGUGCUUAACACAUGCAAGUCGAACGGAAAGGCCCUGCUUUUGUGGGGUGCUCGAGUGGCGAACGGGUGAGUAACACGUGAGUAACCUGCCCUUGACUUUGGGAUAACUUCAGGAAACUGGGGCUAAUACCGGAUAGGAGCUCCUGCUGCAUGGUGGGGGUUGGAAAGUUUCGGCGGUUGGGGAUGGACUCGCGGCUUAUCAGCUUGUUGGUGGGGUAGUGGCUUACCAAGGCUUUGACGGGUAGCCGGCCUGAGAGGGUGACCGGCCACAUUGGGACUGAGAGACGGCCCAGACUCCUACGGGAGGCAGCAGGGGGGAAUAUUGCACAAUGGGCGGAAGCCUGAUGCAGCGACGCCGCGUGCGGGAUGACGGCCUACGGGUUGUAAACCGCUUUCGCCUGUGACGAAGCGUGAGUGACGGUAAUGGGUAAAGAAGCACCGGCUAACUACGUG